GGAGACCAUCCCAACCUCAUAGAGAAAGGACAUGUGAUGGGGUGUUCACUCUUCACUAAUCUAGAAGAGUGUUACAAGUAUGGAUCCAUAGUGGGGAUACUAGCUUUAAUUAUACGUCUGUAACCAAACGAAGGAAGAAGCUGGCCUUUCCUGGACAGGAAAGCAUCACAGCUAUGUAACUACGUUAAGUGAAAUUGAGGAUGGUGUGGCCAAAAACAAUGGAAGCCACACUUACAUUCAAAUCAGCAGAGGGAUGGGAAGACCAUACUGGAUAAUAAAGCUUGUUGCUGCCGCAGC
Mauremys mutica (yellowpond turtle) is the source of this 297-nucleotide long non-coding RNA. RefSeq lists it as uncharacterized. The transcript is spliced from 3 exons. The record is from RefSeq and is a predicted model, not a curated record. Lineage: Eukaryota; Metazoa; Chordata; Testudines; Geoemydidae.